This 1059-nucleotide small RNA is filed under the name Pan troglodytes (chimpanzee). RNAcentral describes it as "processed transcript". Lineage: Eukaryota; Metazoa; Chordata; Mammalia; Primates; Hominidae. The record is from RNAcentral.
UGGUCGCCUAAACCGUUUAGUGAAACUUCUUCCACCUUUCUCCAUUCCUCUAGGUGCUUUUUCUGAACCUGGAUGUGACGCAUUAAAGGAUCCGACCGAAAUAGAAUUGAAGGCAUUCUAAAAUGGCUAACCGUACAGUGAAGGAUGCGCACAGCAUCCACGGCACCAACCCUCAAUAUCUGGUGGAGAAGAUCAUUCGAACGCGAAUCUAUGAGUCCAAGUACUGGAAAGAGGAGUGCUUUGGACUUACAGCUGAACUUGUAGUCGAUAAAGCCAUGGAGUUAAGAAACGCUAUGUAUUAGAGGAAGCUGAGCAACUGGAGCCUCGAGUUAGUGCUCUGGAAGAGGACAUGGAUGAUGUGGAGUCCAGUGAAGAGGAAGAAGAGGAGGAUGAGAAGUUGGAAAGAGUGCCAUCACCUGAUCACCGCCGGAGAAGCUACCGAGACUUGGACAAGCCCCGUCGCUCUCCCACACUGCGCUACAGGAGGAGUAGGAGCCGGUCUCCCAGAAGGCGGAGUCGAUCUCCCAAAAGGAGAAGCCCCUCCCCUCGUCGAGAAAGGCAUCGGAGCAAGAGUCCAAGACGUCACCGCAGCAGGUCCCGAGAUCGGCGGCACAGAUCCCGUUCCAAGUCCCCAGGUCAUCACCGUAGUCACAGACACAGGAGCCACUCAAAGUCUCCCGAAAGGUCUAAGAAGAGCCACAAGAAGAGCCGGAGAGGGAAUGAGUAAUGGACUCAGUUUGGUUUUAGUCCACAUGGCCUCCUGUGGAUAUGAGGAUAUCUGUAUGUGGAAGGAUUAAGAUCUCCCCCAGGCAGCUAUAAGAAUAUUUUAGUUUUUUUCUUAUCAAGUUUCUCAACCUUUAUUUUUAAUGAAGGAGGUGCUGAGUUUUGUAUCUUUUUAAUCAUAAUCAACAUCAGUUUUUGACCCAACUAACCUUGACUGUAUUCAAACUUAUGAGAGUAUAAAGGAUCUGGAGGUUGGGGAUAUGACUGACAAGGAAAGGCUGUGGCCACCUGAUGACCCUUUCCCUUUUUAUUAAACCGGACACACCUGUUUCCCAU